GACGAACGCUUGCGGCGUGCUUAACACAUGCAAGUCGAACGGAAAGGCCCUGCUUUUGUGGGGUGCUCGAGUGGCGAACGGGUGAGUAACACGUGAGUAACCUGCCCUUGACUUUGGGAUAACUUCAGGAAACUGGGGCUAAUACCGGAUAGGAGCUCCUGCUGCAUGGUGGGGGUUGGAAAGUUUCGGCGGUUGGGGAUGGACUCGCGGCUUAUCAGCUUGUUGGUGGGGUAGUGGCUUACCAAGGCUUUGACGGGUAGCCGGCCUGAGAGGGUGACCGGCCACAUUGGGACUGAGAUACGGCCCAGACUCCUACGGGAGGCAGCAGUGGGGAAUAUUGCACAAUGGGCGGAAGCCUGAUGCAGCAACGCCGCGUGCGGGAUGACGGCCUUCGGGUUGUAAACCGCUUUCGCCUGUGACGAAGCGUGAGUGACGGUAAUGGGUAAAGAAGCACCGGCUAACUACGUGCCAGCAGCCGCGGUGAUACGUAGGGUGCGAGCGUUGUCCGGAUUUAUUGGGCGUAAAGGGCUCGUAGGUGGUUGAUCGCGUCGGAAGUGUAAUCUUGGGGCUUAACCCUGAGCGUGCUUUCGAUACGGGUUGACUUGAGGAAGGUAGGGGAGAAUGGAAUUCCUGGUGGAGCGGUGGAAUGCGCAGAUAUCAGGAGGAACACCAGUGGCGAAGGCGGUUCUCUGGGCCUUUCCUGACGCUGAGGAGCGAAAGCGUGGGGAGCGAACAGGCUUAGAUACCCUGGUAGUCCACGCUGUAAACGGUGGGUACUAGGUGUGGGGUCCAUUCCACGGGUUCCGUGCCGUAGCUAACGCUUUAAGUACCCCGCCUGGGGAGUACGGCCGCAGGGCUAAAACUCAAAGGAAUUGACGGGGCCCCGCACAAGCGGCGGAGCAUGCGGAUUAAUUCGAUGCAACGCGUAGAACCUUACCUGGGUUUGACAUGGAUCGGGAGUGCUCAGAGAUGGGUGAGCCUCUUUUGGGGUCGGUUCACAGGUGGUGCAUGGCUGUCGUCAGCUCGUGUCGUGAGAUGUUAGGUUAAGUCCCGCAACGAGCGCAACCCUUGUUCACUGUUGCCAGCACGUUAUGGUGGGGACUCAGUGGAGACCGCCGGGGUCAACUCGGAGGAAGGUGGGGAUGACGUCAAGUCAUCAUGCCCCUUAUGUCCAGGGCUUCACGCAUGCUACAAUGGCUGGUACAGAGAGUGGCGAGCCUGUGAGGGUGAGCGAAUCUCGGAAAGCCGGUCUCAGUUCGGAUUGGGGUCUGCAACUCGACCUCAUGAAGUCGGAGUCGCUAGUAAUCGCAGAUCAGCAACGCUGCGGUGAAUACGUUCCCGGGGCU
Molecule: ribosomal RNA, 1346 nt
Filed under: uncultured bacterium
Lineage: Bacteria
Description: partial 16S ribosomal RNA
Rfam family: Bacterial small subunit ribosomal RNA
Source: RNAcentral